AUUAUACAGCGAAACUGCGAAUGGCUCAUUAAAUCAGUUAUCGUUUAUUUGAUAGUACCUUACUACUUGGAUAACCGUGGUAAUUCUAGAGCUAAUACAUGCUAAAAACCCCGACUCACGAAGGGGUGUAUUUAUUAGAUUAAAAACCAAUGCCCUUCGGGGCUCUUUGGUGAUUCAUAAUAACUUUUCGAAUCGCAUGGCCUUGCGCCGGCGAUGGUUCAUUCAAAUUUCUGCCCUAUCAACUUUCGAUGGCAGGGUCUUGGCCUGCCAUGGUUACAACGGGUAACGGAGGGUUAGGGCUCGACCCCGGAGAAGGAGCCUGAGAAACGGCUACUACAUCCAAGGAAGGCAGCAGGCGCGCAAAUUACCCAAUCCCGAUUCGGGGAGGUAGUGACAAUAAAUACUGAUACAGGGCUCUUUUGGGUCUUGUAAUUGGAAUGAGUACAAUUUAAAUCCCUUAACGAGGAACAAUUGGAGGGCAAGUCUGGUGCCAGCAGCCGCGGUAAUUCCAGCUCCAAUAGCGUAUAUUAAAGUUGUUGCAGUUAAAAAGCUCGUAGUUGAACCUUGGGCCUGGCUGGCCGGUCCGCCUCACCGCGUGCACUGGUUCGGCCGGGCCUUUCCCUCUGGGGAACCUCAUGGUCUUCACUGAUCGUGAUGGGGAACCAGGACUUUUACUGUGAAAAAAUUAGAGUGUUCAAAGCAGGCCUAUGCUCGAAUACAUUAGCAUGGAAUAAUAAAAUAGGACGUGUGGUUCUAUUUUGUUGGUUUCUAGGACCGCCGUAAUGAUUAAUAGGGACAGUCGGGGGCAUCAGUAUUCAAUUGUCAGAGGUGAAAUUCUUGGAUUUAUUGAAGACUAACUACUGCGAAAGCAUUUGCCAAGGAUGUUUUCAUUAAUCAGGAACGAAAGUUAGGGGAUCGAAGACGAUCAGAUACCGUCGUAGUCUUAACCAUAAACUAUGCCGACUAGGGAUCGGACGGUGUUACUUAUUGACCCGUUCGGCACCUUACGAGAAAUCAAAGUCUUUGGG
Molecule: ribosomal RNA, 1028 nt
Filed under: Graphostroma platystomum
Lineage: Eukaryota; Fungi; Ascomycota; Sordariomycetes; Xylariales; Graphostromataceae
Description: SSU rRNA
Rfam family: Eukaryotic small subunit ribosomal RNA
Source: RNAcentral